UCAAAAGCCAAAAUGGAAUUCUUAGAAAUUAAAAACAACAGAAAUGAGAAACUCAACAGUAAAUCUCUCAGAAAGUCAAGCAAAAAGACAAAGAGAUAGAAAAAUUGGAGGGAAAAUAGCAAGCCAAAUUAGAAGACUAGUCCAAGAAUUCGAAUAUCUAAGUAAUAGGAGUUCCAGAGAGAGGGAGAGAAAAAAACAAAAACAAAAACAGAAAACGGAAAACAGAAAAGAGGUAAUCACAAAUGAAAUUACCGUACUCGCUCCUAAUCCGUGAAGGUACGUUCCAAGACCCCAGUGGAUGUCUGAAACCACAGAUCAUGGACGACUGAGCUGGAAGUGGUAUAGAAGCAGAUCCUGGAGAAAUUCUAACGGUCCUCCGAGAAGCAGACACCAAAACAGAAUUUGAUGUGCAAGAAAUUUACUGGGGAAAAUGCCUAUGAAAGAUAAAGGAGGAAGAAGCAGGAGUGGAUGGGGAGAGCCUUCACACAAACGAGGUGAGGCAGGUCUGACUCAUGUGAAAGGAGAGCAGGAAGGAAGAAUAUCAGCCUGCAGGGCAGUUUGGAGAAAGUCUCCUCCAGGUCCAGAAAGAACCUCCGAAGCCUGCAUGGCCUGUCGGAGGAGUCCCACGUAAGUCAGGGACUGGCCGACUCCAGCGCCCCCCUGGGAUGCUUGCUGGCUGAGAGUAGGCUGGGAGAAAUGUGAAUGUCAUGGUGGAUCCAAAAGGCAGCAGCUGGAGGCUGUCGGUCAAUUGCAUUUCCCACAGCAGGUUCUUUUGAAGGAGAUCUGAGUGGAGCACUUCCAUGGCCAGCACAGCUUUCCAGGAGCUCUCAAUUUAGGCAGGUAAACAUAUACAUCACAGCUGUAUUCCAAGGCUGUGGACUAGCCCUUUGGGGUUCUGUGUCCGUUCUGUGUUCACUCAGCCAUAGCCUGGGUUGUGGACAGGGACCAUGGUAUGGAACAUGGCUGCUCAGAUAAGGAGGGCUGUGAUGUGUGUGUAGAUACACCUCACAGGCCCAGGAAAGCAGGGAAAUGGUUGAUAUAAUACAAUUAUGUACAAGACACAGUGGCAGGAAGGAGGGAAUUAACUAACUGCUUAUGAAGGAGAGG
RNAcentral lists this long non-coding RNA (1107 nucleotides) under Equus caballus (horse). RNAcentral's name for it is "lncRNA (ENSECAG00000046538.1)". The record is from RNAcentral. Lineage: Eukaryota; Metazoa; Chordata; Mammalia; Perissodactyla; Equidae.